RNAcentral lists this long non-coding RNA (275 nucleotides) under Homo sapiens (human). Its description in RNAcentral is "HSALNT0042510". The record is from RNAcentral. Lineage: Eukaryota; Metazoa; Chordata; Mammalia; Primates; Hominidae.
ACUUACCUAUAAAAGGAUACAAAAACUGAAGAACAGAGAGGAGCAGAUACCCUGGAAAGCCGAAAGUUUUAUUGACCAAAGACUGGGUCUCGGAAUGUUUUGAUUGUGGAGUUUAUAGAGUUCAGGCUGAAGUUUUAUAAAAAUAACUUGCAGCAGCAUGGAGGACUGAUGAGAAAGUAGACAGAUGCUGGAAGCAGGAAAACUGAACAGCAGGUCACUGGCCAAGGAGAAUCAAAGAGCUAGAUGCUGAGAAUAAUGCAGCCAUAACGUGAAAU